AUUGAACGCUGGCGGCAUGCCUUACACAUGCAAGUCGAACGGCAGCGGACCUUCGGGUGCCGGCGAGUGGCGAACGGGUGAGUAAUAUAUCGGAACGUACCUUUCAGUGGGGGAUAACGUAGCGAAAGUUACGCUAAUACCGCAUAUUCUGUGAGCAGGAAAGCAGGGGAUCGCAAGACCUUGCGCUGAUUGAGCGGCCGAUAUCAGAUUAGCUAGUUGGUGAGGUAAAGGCUCACCAAGGCGACGAUCUGUAGCGGGUCUGAGAGGAUGAUCCGCCACACUGGAACUGAGACACGGUCCAGACUCCUACGGGAGGCAGCAGUGGGGAAUUUUGGACAAUGGGCGCAAGCCUGAUCCAGCCAUGCCGCGUGAGUGAAGAAGGCCUCGGUUGUAAGACUCUUUGUUUGGUAGAAUACCGGUUGGUUAAGUACCUG
Molecule: ribosomal RNA, 434 nt
Filed under: uncultured bacterium
Lineage: Bacteria
Description: bacterial SSU rRNA
Rfam family: Bacterial small subunit ribosomal RNA
Source: RNAcentral